Molecule: ribosomal RNA, 551 nt
Filed under: Colletotrichum gloeosporioides
Lineage: Eukaryota; Fungi; Ascomycota; Sordariomycetes; Glomerellales; Glomerellaceae
Description: eukaryotic LSU rRNA
Rfam family: 5.8S ribosomal RNA (bases 178-331)
Source: RNAcentral
GCCGCCCUCCUGGCGUCGCACUAUACCCUUUGUGACAUACCUAUAACUGUUGCUUCGGCGGGUAGGGUCUCCGCGACCCUCCCGGCCUCCCGCCUCCGGGCGGGUCGGCGCCCGCCGGAGGAUAACCAAACUCUGAUUUAACGACGUUUCUUCUGAGUGGUACAAGCAAAUAAUCAAAACUUUUAACAACGGAUCUCUUGGUUCUGGCAUCGAUGAAGAACGCAGCGAAAUGCGAUAAGUAAUGUGAAUUGCAGAAUUCAGUGAAUCAUCGAAUCUUUGAACGCACAUUGCGCCCGCCAGCAUUCUGGCGGGCAUGCCUGUUCGAGCGUCAUUUCAACCCUCAAGCUCUGCUUGGUGUUGGGGCCCUACAGCUGAUGUAGGCCCUCAAAGGUAGUGGCGGACCCUCCCGGAGCCUCCUUUGCGUAGUAACUUUACGUCUCGCACUGGGAUCCGGAGGGACUCUUGCCGUAAAACCCCCCAAUUUUCCAAAGGUUGACCUCGGAUCAGGUAGGAAUACCCGCUGAACUUAAGCAUAUCAAUAAGCGGAGGAA